ACUCCUACGGGAGGCAGCAGUGGGGAAUAUUGCACAAUGGGCGCAAGCCUGAUGCAGCAACGCCGCGUGAGGGACGACGGCCUUCGGGUUGUAAACCUCUUUUAGUAGGGAAGAAGCGAAAGUGACGGUACCUGCAGAAAAAGCACCGGCUAACUACGUGCCAGCAGCCGCGGUAAUACGUAGGGUGCAAGCGUUAUCCGGAAUUAUUGGGCGUAAAGAGCUCGUAGGCGGUUUGUCGCGUCUGCUGUGAAAACUGGAGGCUCAACCUCCAGCCUGCAGUGGGUACGGGCAGACUAGAGUGCGGUAGGGGAGAUUGGAAUUCCUGGUGUAGCGGUGGAAUGCGCAGAUAUCAGGAGGAACACCGAUGGCGAAGGCAGAUCUCUGGGCCGUAACUGACGCUGAGGAGCGAAAGCAUGGGGAGCGAACAGGAUUAGAUACCCUGGUAGUCCAUGCCGUAAACGUUGGGAACUAGAUGUAGGGACCAUUCCACGGUUUCUGUGUCGCAGCUAACGCAUUAAGUUCCCCGCCUGGGGAGUACGGCCCCCAGGCUUAAACUCAAAGGAAUUGACGGGGGCCCGCACAAGCGGCGGAGCAUGCGGAUUAAUUCGAUGCCACGCGAAGAACCUUACCAAGGCUUGACAUAUACCGGAAAAGUGCAAAAAUGUACUCCCCGCAAGGUCGGUAUACAGGUGGUGCAUGGUUGUCGUCAGCUCGUGUCGUGAGAUGUUGGGUUAAGUCCCGCAACGAGCGCAACCCUCGUUCUAUGUUGCCAGCACGUAAUGGUGGGAACUCAUAGGAGACUGCCGGGGUCAACUCGGA
Molecule: ribosomal RNA, 819 nt
Filed under: uncultured Actinomycetes bacterium
Lineage: Bacteria; Bacillati; Actinomycetota; Actinomycetes
Description: bacterial SSU rRNA
Rfam family: Bacterial small subunit ribosomal RNA
Source: RNAcentral